RNAcentral lists this ribosomal RNA (472 nucleotides) under uncultured bacterium. RNAcentral describes it as "bacterial SSU rRNA". It matches the Rfam family "Bacterial small subunit ribosomal RNA", at positions 328 to 793 of the family's 1533-position model. The record is from RNAcentral.
CUCUGUGACUCCUACGGGAGGCAGCAGUGGGGAAUAUUGCACAAUGGGGGAAACCCUGAUGCAGCCAUGCCGCGUGUGUGAAGAAGGCCUUCGGGUUGUAAAGCACUUUCAGUAGGGAGGAAGGUAGUGUAGUUAACACCUGCAUUAUUUGACGUUACCUACAGAAGAAGCACCGGCUAACUCCGUGCCAGCAGCCGCGGUAAUACGGAGGGUGCGAGCGUUAAUCGGAAUUACUGGGCGUAAAGCGCAUGCAGGCGGCCUGUUAAGUCAGAUGUGAAAGCCCGGGGCUUAACCUCGGAAUUGCAUUUGAAACUGGCAGACUAGAGUACUGUAGAGGGGGUAGAAUUUCAGGUGUAGCGGUGAAAUGCGUAGAGAUCUGAAGGAAUACCGGUGGCGAAGGCGGCCCCCUGGACAGAUACUGACACUCAGAUGCGAAAGCGUGGGGAGCAAACAGGAUUAGAUACCCUGGUAG